This 253-nucleotide ribosomal RNA is filed under the name uncultured bacterium. RNAcentral's name for it is "partial 16S ribosomal RNA". It matches the Rfam family "Bacterial small subunit ribosomal RNA", at positions 524 to 776 of the family's 1533-position model. The record is from RNAcentral.
UACGUAGGGGGCUAGCGUUGUCCGGAUUUAUUGGGCGUAAAGAGCGUGUAGGCGGCCAGGUAGGCCUGGUGUGAAAACUCGAGGCUUAACCUCGAGAUGUCAUCGGAAACCAUUUGGCUAGAGUCCGGAAGAGGAGAGUGGAAUUCCUGGUGUAGCGGUGAAAUGCGCAGAUAUCAGGAAGAACACCAAUGGCGAAAGCAGCUCUCUGGGACGGUACUGACGCUGAGACGCGAAAGCGUGGGGAGCGAACAGG